RNAcentral lists this ribosomal RNA (387 nucleotides) under uncultured bacterium. RNAcentral describes it as "bacterial SSU rRNA". It matches the Rfam family "Bacterial small subunit ribosomal RNA", at positions 28 to 416 of the family's 1533-position model. The record is from RNAcentral.
GACGAACGCUGGCGGCGUGCUUAACACAUGCAAGUCGAGCGGAAAGGCUCCUUCGGGGGUACUCGAGCGGCGAACGGGUGAGUAACACGUGAGUAAUCUGCCCUUGGCUUUGGGAUAAGCCCCGGAAACGGGGUCUAAUACCGGAUAUGACCGGCCACUGCAUGGUGGUUGGUGGAAAGUUUUUUUCGGCCAGGGAUGUGCUCGCGGCCUAUCAGCUUGUUGGUGGGGUAAUGGCCUACCAAGGCUUCGACGGGUAGCCGGCCUGAGAGGGUGACCGGCCACACUGGGACUGAGACACGGCCCAGACUCCUACGGGAGGCAGCAGUGGGGAAUAUUGGACAAUGGGCGGAAGCCUGAUCCAGCAACGCCGCGUGAGGGAUGACGGCC